AGUUCCAAUAGCGUAUAUUAAAGUUGUUGCGGUUGAAAAGCUCAUAGUUGGAUUUCUGUUGAGGACGGCCGGUCCGCCCUCUGGGUGAGUAUCUGGUUCGGCUUGGGCAUAUGCUUGGAGAACGUAGUUGCGCUUAAGUGCGUGGUGGGGUAUCCAGGACUUUUACUUGGAGGAAAUUAGUGUGUUUCAAGCAGGCACACGCCUUGAAUACAUUAGCAUGGAAUAAUAAGAUAGGACCUCUGUUCUAUUUUGUUGGUUUCCGGAAUUGAGGUAAUGAUUAAUAGGGAUAGUUGGGGGCAUUCGUAUUUAACUCUCAGAGGUGAAAUUCUUGGAUUUGUUAAAGACGGACUGCUGCGAAAGCAUUUGCCAAGGAUGUUUUCA
Molecule: ribosomal RNA, 381 nt
Filed under: uncultured eukaryote
Lineage: Eukaryota
Description: SSU rRNA
Rfam family: Eukaryotic small subunit ribosomal RNA
Source: RNAcentral